GGCCUGGUAGCGGAGGGUUUCGCGCCUGCACCAUAUAAAUGUGCCAACUCGUUCCAGCAGGAGUGCUCGUUCAACUCGGGCCCGGGCCA
Molecule: non-coding RNA, 89 nt
Organism: Mycena vulgaris
Lineage: Eukaryota; Fungi; Basidiomycota; Agaricomycetes; Agaricales; Mycenaceae
Source: the annotation of a GenBank genome assembly